This 2879-nucleotide long non-coding RNA is filed under the name Junco hyemalis (dark-eyed junco). RNAcentral describes it as "lncRNA (ENSJHYG00000002419.1)". Lineage: Eukaryota; Metazoa; Chordata; Aves; Passeriformes; Passerellidae. The record is from RNAcentral.
GAGGUGCAGGUGGAGACUGAUCAGCUUGCAUGGGUUGCACUUCUUCUGUGGGGUGGGCUUGCACUGCAGGGCAGGAGCCUUUUGUAUAUCAAAGAAUGAAAAUUUACUCGUGACCCAAUCUCCAUCUGGGGCUGUAGGAAGAUCUGAAGAUGCUCAUAGGAUCCAGACUAUGGAUCUGUGUUGUUUUUGUUCGGACUGGAUCUUGGAGUUCUUUUCCAACCUAAACUUUUCUGUGGUUCUGUGUAUUAUAUCUGUGUGCUCAUCUCUGGAAAUAUUUAAGGCCAGCUGGAUGGGGCUUUGAGUAACCCAGUCGAGAGGGUGGUGUCCCUGCCCAUGGCAGGGGGGUUGUUGGAGCCCCACAAUCUCUCAGUUCCCUUCCAAUUCAAACAAUUUUUAUCUCCAUCUUGCCCAAACCUCAAAUCCAGUCUGUUUCUCCAGCACCCCCUGCCAGCAUUUCCUGCUCCGGAGCACUAAGAUUUUGAGGUGCAGUAUUUCACAUUAAGUGCUCGGUUUCCCUCCCCCUGGCAGGGACGAGGAAGGACAAAGCAGGCAGGAGCCCAGAGCAUGCACUCACUAGCUACUGUCUGCCAACAAGUUGGGAAAGUGCAAUGUUAUACGAAAUGUCUGGCUGUUAUAAAAGGCUUUGGUUAAGUAAUCACAUUUCUCUUGCAUAAGUGCUUGUUUUUGGGAGGCUUUAGCCAAUUGGAGGCUGCAGCAGCACACAGACAGAAAAUAGGGUUCGGAGGCGGAGACUCCCCAGCGCCGCUUGUAGCUGAACCACAGCUGUAAAACACUGCCAUAAAGCCUGUGUGGAUUCCUGGUAAGAUGGAUGCUCUACACAAGUUGAAGAUUUUGGUGAUGUUUCUGUCUCUGGCUACUUUCACGGUCAUGGUGAUAAUGAAUGCUGGAAAUGCCACUGGGACUUUCAAAGGUGUGUUCAGGACAACCCCUGGAAAUAUCUCUGCCAAGUACAGCACUGAUUUCACACCAGCUGGCUGGACUUUCCUCAUCUGGAACGUCAUCUACGCCUGGCAGCUCGCCUGGCUCCUCUAUGCCCUGUCGGGGAUCUGUCGAAGGAAUGAACUUGGAUAUGUCUUCAUAAAGCCAGACUUGCUGCCAACACCUUUUUAUGUGGCAUGGUGUCUGAAUAAUUGCCUCAAUGUUGGAUGGCUCUUUCUGUGGGACCGAGAAUACCUCCUUCCAGCCCUGGUGUUCCUGGCAGUCCUCUCUUUUACCACGUGUGCCUCCCUUUAUGUUUCCCACCGAGCCUUGAGCAUCCAUUCCUCGUGGUUUGUGAAGGCUCACAAAGCUGAGCUCUGGCUCAUCCGCAUUCUGGUGCAGAACGGGCUGGCCCUGUACCUGACGUGGACCAGCAUCGCCACGCUGCUGAACUUCGCCGUCGUGCUCAUCUACAAGUGGAAUGUGCCCAAUGAGAAAGCCACCACUGCUUCCCUGAGCAUCCUGGCUCUCAGCCUGGUGAUAUGGUUUUAUCUAGAAAACUACUUUCUUGACAAGUACGUCCGCUACAACCUCACAGUGUACCCAGUGGUGAUAGCAGCUCUGACGGGCAGCGCGUGCAGGAGCGGCUCGUUCUCAUCCACACUGACCAACGACGUUUUUAUAGUUGUUCUGCUGGCACUGACAUGUUUGAUCUUUGCUGUUCGGCUGGGAUUAGUCAUUUGGAGACACUGGAAGAGACCACUGGAAGCAUCAGAAUCCCGAGGCCCAUCAGGCACAGUGGCCUGAGACCUCUGGCACUUCGUGGCUGAUACUUGAAAGGGAGAAAAAAGAAUUGGGCAUGUGCUGGUCCUUCCCUCCUGUAUCCAUUUCCUUGUGCAUUUCUCUCCUAUUCCCCAUUCCAAAUGCAGAUGUCUUGCAUCUGCAAAUGUGUCCUGCUCCCACAUUCCUUCGGAUCAGCUACUCACAACCCUGUAUUGAAUCCUUUUGAUUUUACCCUGGAAAAGUUCAGGAAAAAGUCCUGAGCAGCCCUGUGCACCUUUGUGGUGCCAGGGCUGUGGCUCUCUUCUCCUGCCAACAGGCACCCAGCAGGCUUGCACACAUAGUUGUUCUUGUUUUUCCCUUGGUAUCUCCCUUUCUUUGAAGUGCAGAUCCAAGUGAACUGUCCCUGGGGUUCCAGGGGAGCAGUGGGAUGUCUGUCAUUCCCUUGGCCAUUGGUGCUGAGCAUCCUCAAGCCCUGGUGCUGCUGUCUGCAGAUCUCCUGCAGGCAGCCACUGCUCCUUUCCUGCUUCUCUUCAGCAUGACAGGAACAGAUACUACAAUUUGAUAUCUGCCUUUGCAGUGCCAGCUCUGCUGUUUGAUGUUCAGGGGGGCAGGGGGAGUGACUGGAGAUUUCUGACACAAAUGUGUUGCCUUUCCCUGAGCUGUGCACAGCUUGGGCUGGCUGGAUGUCUCUCACUGGGGAGGGUUUGUGGCCUCUCUGGAAGGAGGUUAGAUGUACAGAUGAGCUGGUACCUGAUCUGGGGUGAAGCCUGAUGCUUCAAAGGAAACCUGUUUAAAAAAAAAAAAAAAAAUUGAACCAGUAGAGCAAGUUCAUGCUGGAUCAGUGCCUUCUCAUGUGGCUUCACCACUUCUGAGUUGGGAUUAGGAAGCCUAAAACUGGAUUGACUGAAUUUUUGGACCACUGCCUUUCCUUCCUGUGCCUAAUUGAGAGCUGGUGGUGCCUCACAGGUGUCUGGAAAGUCUUUGCACCAGGAAGGUGCUGUCAGUGCAUCCUGCAGUAUUAUUAACAAAACUAAAUUCUAAAAUAACAUGUGCUGUUGUUUACAUUUAGCAAAAACCAAAAGCAUUGUAAUUCAAUUCUUCUCCUCAUUCUGGUGUGGUUUUUUUAAAAUUUUCAAAUAAAUCAGCUAAUUCUACCA